AGAUAUAUAUGUUGAGAGUCACAUCUGCAAAUAGGGAGCUUUGUUUAAGAAAGAUGGGUUGGUAGUGCAGCUCCCUGAUGGCAUUUAUAUUAAGGACCUGUAUUGAAAAAGACCCAGGGAACUCAGCACCGUGUCUUCCUUUCUCAAAUCGCAAAAGUCCUAGGCAGCCCUUCCUCCUUCCACACUUCAGUACUUUUCUAUUCUUUGCUUUUAUCUUGUUCCGGGAUUGUUAGUUGUAAGAGGGAGAAUCUGGGAGGAAUGUGGCUGCUCCAUUCUAGUGGGAUCCUUUUGAAUUUUACGAGGCAAAUAUCAGAGUAUGUGCAUAUCUUGCAAUACGACUUUUUAAAAUUAAAGCUUAUUUAUGAAAAAAACAUAUAUUUACAUCUUAAAAUCACAGUAACACAUUUUAAAGAAAGUUAUCUAGAGAUAAAUCUGAAUUACAUUUCAGAAACAGUUACUAGAAUGUCAAAAUCACAUGUAAACAUUUUGCAAAGCACACUGAUGGUUUACAAGGAAAUUUGAAUCAGAUCUUGUUGGCACUUUGAGAGAGAUUGUAGUAGAUGGGCUAUGUAGACGCAAAAAUAAACACUUUUCUGAAAUGUUAUGGCAAUGAGAUAGGAGCUUUCCUUUAAAGCAAAAGACCUGUUUUGUCUUAUAGUAUUAUACAAAGAGAAUGUGAAUGUUAAAAUUGGAAGUGCAAGCGAAGUUUUCUUUUGAAAUUUUUCAUCCUAAAACUAUAUCCACAUCACUGAAGCUUUUCUGUUCAAAAGUUUUACAGCAGCACCAGAAUGACAGAAGAUCUGUAUUGGGUUCUGAGUUGGAUACUUACUACCUCUUCACCUGACUUGUCUACACUGUCAACUUGAAUAACCAGUGAAAAAUAAUGAAAUAAUGGCGAUCAACCCUCUUCUGCUCUUGGCAUCUCAGCUUUUCCAAAGCCUUAAAUCUCCAUCUCAACUGUGUGCCCAGCUACAGACUAAAUAUCCAGCCAUUUUCCCAGAGGGAAGUAAUGAUAAGCACAUAAAUUCCGGCCAGUGUGACGCAAGUGAACAUGGAAAAUAAUGAGUCACAAGAAACCUAGGAUUGAAGCAACUCAUAAUAUCACAAAAGAAGGCAUUUUCCACCCUAUUGAAUUCAAGCAUGGCUUUGCAACUUAUUUUGACCAAGAAAUUGUGUGCAGAAAUAACUUAGGAUUUCUGUGGGGAUUCUUUGGGGCCUACUUUUCCAGUCGAACCCUGGUGGCCAACAAUGAUGUCACCAAUGGAGAGUGUUCCAUCAGCUUGCAACCUGAUGAGAGGAUCUACAAUUAAAAAACAAACGAAGAAGCAAACAAAAACUCUGGAUCACACUAAGUUUGAGGUAUAAGGAAAAAUAAAACACAUUUCAAACCACUAA
Molecule: non-coding RNA, 1395 nt
Organism: Macaca mulatta (Rhesus monkey)
Lineage: Eukaryota; Metazoa; Chordata; Mammalia; Primates; Cercopithecidae
Source: RefSeq, a predicted model, not a curated record